UUCUGUGGCAUUGUGGGAUCAUUAUUAUUCUCAGGAAAGAAUUGAUAGAAGAAUUAUUCGAGAUAAUUCGGACAUUAUGUCUCUAAGCGAUAAAAGCUUCAUGCAAAAUUUCCGCCUUAAUAAGCACGCAUUUUUAUAUGUUUUGGACAACAUAAGACCCCAAUUAAAAGUCGCUCAAAGGACCACAUCAAUUCCAGAAAUUGUAAAACUGUCAACAACCUUGAAGUUCCUCGCACAGGGCGGGUAUCAUCACUCGGUCGGCCAAGAUAGGCAUUCAGGGCUAGCCCAACAAUCGGUUUCCCGAUGCAUCUUGGAAGUGUGUGAUGCCAUCGAGAAAACUCUGUGCCCAAAGCAUAUCGUGUUUCCCUUGACCAUUGAGGAAAAAAUUGAAGCAAAUAGAACCUUUUACUUGACGUCCGGAAUUCCAGGCGUAAUUUGAGUGAUUGAUGGGACGCACAUCCAGUUGAUACGACCAUCACGGAAUGAACACUUAUUUUUUAAUUGUAAACUAAAACACAGCAUAAAUGCAAUGGUGAUAUGUGAUCACAAAAUGCAGAUAAGGGCAGUAAAUAGUAGAUUUGGAGGAGCGUCGCAUGACUCCCACGUAUGGAACCUCUCAGGAGAACGUGCAAGUUUGAGGACGAACUACGAAAAUGGAAAUAGAAGCGAACGAAUUCUUGGAGACUCCGGAUAUCCUCUUGAACCUUGGCUGCUAACGCCAUAUAGGAAUGCGCCAGAACGUUCUGAUGAACUCUAUUUCAUCCAACAGUUUACAAAAGGCCGAUUCCUCUAUUGACAAUAACUCACUCACUUGUUGCUCUAACUGUGAUAAAGAUUGAUAUGGACGCCGAUACACCUGUAACCCCCACGCCAACUCUCCGUUAGGCUGUUACUGUGCCUCGCUCUGGAACUGUUCCAGUAGCAGCGCCCCGAACCAUCACGGCAGCAACGGCGCCAAUCGUGGCACGAAGCUCAACACGCGCAGCACCGACGCCGGCGCCUCCGAAACCGCACCGCACCAGAUGUCCGCUCUGUUGCCGUUCACAUAGGCUGCAGCAUUGCUCUAUUUUCAAGGGAAUGUUACCCGUACAACGUCAGAAGGUGGCACAGGCACAUGGGCAUUGUUUAAACUGCUUGGCCAAGUCACACGCCACACUUGAAUGCGAAUCUGACACCUCGUGCCGGUUAUGUGAAAGACCGCAUCAUACCUUACUCCACCGGAACGCCGGACAUCCUGGCUCACCAACUGUCCUCCGCCGCCGUACGGCCACCCGACGAUCGCAGCCCAACCGUGUGGCACGACAUCCAGAAGCUGGAUGGUCCUGGCGCCCACUCAAUACGACAUCCACGCGCAACCAGCCAAGGCCACAACCUCACCGCCCCACCAGCUUGAGCGGCGUUGUAGCUACGCUACAGGCACUACAGCGUCUACUAGACUAGUUUUCGCCUAGGGGGGCCGGGAUGUCGAAAUGAACGCCAGUCGUCCGAACUAACUUAACUAUAAGGCAACAUUGAAUACCCCAUUCUCCACACCAACAUACCAAUCAGGAAAAAAGGCAGCAUUGAAUACCAUAUUCUACACAUCAACAUACCAAUCAGGAAAAAAGGCAGCAUUGAAUACAACACUCUCCACAUCAAACUGUGUUUGUUCCGUUUUUCAUUUUAUACCCAAGAGAAGGUGACGCUGUGCCGGCUUUUGUUCUUCACAGUUCUAGAAGUCACGCACGCCGAUACACACGCGCACCGCAACGUCUAUUUGAACAUUUUUUUAACUUUGCACCCUUUGCACCAUCCGGUCAUUAUAUCUAGAGAUUAUUUGUUUUUAUUCGGCUUUUAUGCGGUUUAUAUAUUUAUAUAUUUAUAUAUAUUAUAUUUAUAUUUAUAUAUUUUAUGUACAUUUAACUUUGGUUUGGUGACAUUUCACUUUUAGUAUCGCUAUAUGCGAAAGAAAUUGGUGUAGUGUGCUAAUUUGCAUCAAAGAAGGUUUAUUCAGUGCUAUAACCUAAAACGUGUUUAAUUAUCCCAACGCUCUAUUUCUAAAAUCUGUGGAUACAUUAAUUAACAUCUAAAUUAGCGUAAAGUGUGAAAAUAUAUAAUUCACUGUAAGAAGACAUUGUAAAAUUUGCAAAUUGAAGUGAUAAGUAAUAAAGCUUAUAUAGCUCAACAAGAGCGCAAAAGGAAAAGU
Bactrocera neohumeralis is the source of this 2185-nucleotide long non-coding RNA. RefSeq lists it as uncharacterized. The transcript is spliced from 5 exons. Lineage: Eukaryota; Metazoa; Arthropoda; Insecta; Diptera; Tephritidae. The record is from RefSeq and is a predicted model, not a curated record.